RNAcentral lists this ribosomal RNA (404 nucleotides) under uncultured bacterium. Its description in RNAcentral is "bacterial SSU rRNA". It matches the Rfam family "Bacterial small subunit ribosomal RNA", at positions 355 to 776 of the family's 1533-position model. The record is from RNAcentral.
UGGGGAAUAUUGCACAAUGGGGGGAACCCUGAUGCAGCGAUGCCGCGUGGAGGAAGAAGGUUUUCGGAUUGUAAACUCCUGUCUUAAAGGACGAUAAUGACGGUACUUUAGGAGGAAGCUCCGGCUAACUACGUGCCAGCAGCCGCGGUAAUACGUAGGGAGCGAGCGUUGUCCGGAAUUACUGGGUGUAAAGGGAGCGUAGGCGGGAUUGCAAGUCAGGUGUGAAAACUAUGGGCUCAACCCAUAGACUGCACUUGAAACUGUAGUUCUUGAGUGAAGUAGAGGUAAGCGGAAUUCCUGGUGUAGCGGUGAAAUGCGUAGAUAUCAGGAGGAACACCGGUGGCGAAGGCGGCUUACUGGGCUUUUACUGACGCUGAGGCUCGAAAGCGUGGGGAGCAAACAGG